This is a transfer RNA of Sphaerulina musiva SO2202, 99 nucleotides long. It matches the Rfam family "tRNA". From Rfam's summary of the family: Transfer RNA (tRNA) molecules are approximately 80 nucleotides in length. Their secondary structure includes four short double-helical elements and three loops (D, anti-codon, and T loops). The record is from Rfam. Lineage: Eukaryota; Fungi; Ascomycota; Dothideomycetes; Mycosphaerellales; Mycosphaerellaceae.
GCCUCAAUAGCUCAGUGGUAGAGCGUUGCACUUGUAUAUCACAUGUUAAUCUAAUGAUUUGGCAUGCAAAGGUCGGUAGUUCAAUCCUGCCUUGAGGCU